UACGGAGGGCGCAAGCGUUGUUCGGAAUCACUGGGCGUAAAGCGCGUGUAGGCGGCUUGGCAAGUCGGGUGUGAAAGCCCGGAGCUCAACUCCGGAACUGCAUUCGAGACUGCCGCGCUCGAGUCCCGUAGAGGGUGGUGGAAUUCCCGGUGUAGAGGUGAAAUUCGUAGAUAUCUGGAGGAACACCAGUGGCGAAGGCGGCUACCUGGACGGAGACUGACACUGAGGCUCGAAAGCGUGGGUAGCAAACAGG
This 253-nucleotide ribosomal RNA is filed under the name uncultured bacterium. RNAcentral's name for it is "partial 16S ribosomal RNA". It matches the Rfam family "Bacterial small subunit ribosomal RNA", at positions 524 to 776 of the family's 1533-position model. The record is from RNAcentral.